AUGUGCACAAUAUUACACCCCAUAAUAAUAAUAAAGCCUUGUCCCGUUUUAAGUGUUGUAGCCCCUGAUCACCGAUACCCUGUCCGACUGACGUAGGGCCCCGUAACGUAUGUCAAGGCUCUGCCUAAAUUCGUUGGGGUUCUGUCUCGUGACGUAGGGAUAAAGUGGAAUUGGGUUAUUAUACUUGAUGUGGGUGCACUAUAUAUUUUAUUAAAUAACCCAGAAGUGAUACCCAAAAUAUAACAACCCUCUCGAAUAUUUUUCUGAUACCCUACACUUCCUAAAAUACACCCCGUAUGUGAAAACCGAGCCCGAAAUACAAUAUACUAUUAAAAAUAAUUAAAAACAAGAAAAUAUAAGUUUAGGCGGGCCGCGUAAAGAUCCUCGAUUAGUUAACGCGGGCCGCGAGAGAUCGAAGUUGUGGCGCAGCCCGGUGAUGACACGUGUCAUCAUCGUGGCGGGUCUAGGGGGUGAGCCGGACAAGCUAGUCCGUUGACCAGGAUUGACGCGGGCCGCGUAACCCCUGUCCUUUCUUUACGCGGGCCGCGUGGGAACCAGUUUCAGCAACUAUAAAUAGAGGCCAUCGGAUUUCAUUUGGAAUUCGCUCACGAACGUUUUCUUCUCUCAAAUCUGAAUAUUAGGCAUAAUACUCGGGUAUUAUACCCCCUAAUUAGCGAAGCUCUGCCUCGUUAUAAGUAUCAUAACCCCUGGAUACGUAUUAGAUACUCUGCCCGAUUGAUCUAGGGUUCCGUAACGGCUGUCGUGGUUCUGCCCGACGUAGUCGUUGGAAUGCCGUCUCGGGGAGGGUAUUACUAAUGUUAAAAUGGGUUAUUAUACUAACGCGUGUGCAUUGUUUAUUUAAUUAGACUACUAGUUUAAGAACCCGCGAGGUUCGCGGGUGGACUAAAACACAAAUGAAUAAGUUUAAUUUAUUGAAGUAAUCGUUUGAAUUAAAUAACCGUUCAAGUAAUAAUAAAUUAGUAAACUACAAUGAGACAAAUAAUGUAAUAUCUCGAGAUAUAUUAAUUAUUAUUUAUGUUAAUACAUAAUUAAAAGAUUGACAUGUUAAUGUCUU
RNAcentral lists this long non-coding RNA (1075 nucleotides) under Helianthus annuus (common sunflower). RNAcentral describes it as "hypothetical non coding rna". Lineage: Eukaryota; Viridiplantae; Streptophyta; Magnoliopsida; Asterales; Asteraceae. The record is from RNAcentral.